UUCGGAUAUCAUACAUUUUCUCGUAUAGGUGCAGGAAUCGGCCUGCAUGUCUCUACCCGAUCACCGGAAAUGAUUGGACUACGGGUUAUAGCAGCAGCGGA
Non-coding RNA from Paenibacillus sp. Y412MC10, 101 nucleotides. The record is from Rfam. Lineage: Bacteria; Bacillati; Bacillota; Bacilli; Caryophanales; Paenibacillaceae.